Molecule: ribosomal RNA, 411 nt
Filed under: Syntrophaceae bacterium
Lineage: Bacteria; Pseudomonadati; Thermodesulfobacteriota; Syntrophia; Syntrophales; Syntrophaceae
Description: bacterial SSU rRNA
Rfam family: Bacterial small subunit ribosomal RNA
Source: RNAcentral
AAACUGGAGAGUUUGAUCCUGGCUCAGAACGAACGCUGGCGGCGUGCCUAACACAUGCAAGUCGUACGAGAAAUCCUGGGCAACCGGGAGAGUAAAGUGGCGCACGGGUGAGUAACGCGUGGGUAACCUGCUCUUGAGUUGGGGAUAACUCCGCGAAAGCGGGGCUAAUACCGAAUAAUAUUCCGGAUCCUUCGGGAACUGGAAUCAAAGGUGGCCUCUGCAUGCAAGCUACUGCUCAAGGAUGGGCCCGCGUACCAUUAGCUUGUUGGUAGGGUAACGGCCUACCAAGGCAACGAUGGUUAGCUGGUCUGAGAGGAUGGCCAGCCACACUGGAACUGAGACACGGUCCAGACUCCUACGGGAGGCAGCAGUGGGGAAUCUUGCGCAAUGGGGGAAACCCUGACGCAGCAA